ACUGUUCAUUGAUGAGGCCAUGAAACAAGCACUGUACAUAGUGUCUGGCAUCCAUGAGGAAACAUUCCAUGCUGUCUUCCUUCUGAGAACAUC
RNAcentral lists this small nucleolar RNA (93 nucleotides) under Crocodylus porosus (Australian saltwater crocodile). Its description in RNAcentral is "Small nucleolar RNA U83B (ENSCPRG00005019030.1)". It matches the Rfam family "Small nucleolar RNA U83B". From Rfam's summary of the family: U83B belongs to the C/D family of snoRNAs. The record is from Rfam by way of RNAcentral. Lineage: Eukaryota; Metazoa; Chordata; Crocodylia; Crocodylidae.